AUACGAAGGGAGCUAGCGUUGUUCGGAAUUACUGGGCGUAAAGCGCACGUAGGCGGAUUUGUUAGUCAGGGGUGAAAUCCCGGGGCCCAACCUCGGAACUGCCUUUGAUACUGCAAGUCUGGAGUCCGGAAGAGGUGGGUGGAAUUCCUAGUGUAGAGGUGAAAUUCGUAGAUAUUAGGAAGAACACCGGUGGCGAAGGCGGCCCACUGGUCCGGUACUGACGCUGAGGUGCGAAAGCGUGGGGAGCAAACAGGAUUAGAAACCCGAGUAGUCC
This 274-nucleotide ribosomal RNA is filed under the name uncultured bacterium. RNAcentral's name for it is "partial 16S ribosomal RNA". It matches the Rfam family "Bacterial small subunit ribosomal RNA", at positions 523 to 796 of the family's 1533-position model. The record is from RNAcentral.